Molecule: ribosomal RNA, 253 nt
Filed under: uncultured bacterium
Lineage: Bacteria
Description: partial 16S ribosomal RNA
Rfam family: Bacterial small subunit ribosomal RNA
Source: RNAcentral
UACGAAGGUCCCGAGCGUUGUUCGGAAUCACUGGGCGUAAAGGGAGCGUAGGCGGCGUGGUAAGUCAGAUGUGAAAUCCCGGGGCUCAACCCCGGAACUGCAUCCGAUACUGCCGUGCUUGAGGGUUGGAGAGGUAGCUGGAAUUAUCGGUGUAGCAGUGAAAUGCGCAGAUAUCGGGAAGAACACCCGUAGCGAAGGCGGCACUCUGGGCCGGUACUGACGCUGAGGAGCGAAAGCGUGGGGAGCAAACAGG